UUUAUAAUGCACCGCUAAGCAGGUGGUAAAUUCCAUCUAAAGCUAAAUAUUGGUGCGAGACCGAUAGCAUACAAGUACCGUGAGGGAAAGAUGAAAAGAACUCUGAAAAGAGAGUUAAAGAGAAUCUGAAACUGCUGAAAGGUAACCGGAUCGUUCCCAGUGUCUAGAAUCCGCGGCAUAUUCCACUGGCGAGUGUGUAUUUGUAUAUACUGUGGUAGCUGCUGUCUAGUAGUGCCUGGUGUGUAUAUAAUGCAUGUUUGUUAUUGCUUUGUGCUGCGGUGGGACGUCAAUGUCAGUUCAUGUGCUGCGGGAAAUGGCUGCCAAGGAGGUAGGACUUACGCUUGCGUUUGCCUAUUAUAUCUUGGUGGACGAGUCAUCGCGGCUGCGCUGAGUCUCCCGGA
This 401-nucleotide ribosomal RNA is filed under the name Sclerophthora macrospora. RNAcentral describes it as "eukaryotic LSU rRNA". It matches the Rfam family "Eukaryotic large subunit ribosomal RNA", at positions 274 to 605 of the family's 3401-position model. Lineage: Eukaryota; Oomycota; Peronosporomycetes; Peronosporales; Peronosporaceae. The record is from RNAcentral.